Molecule: non-coding RNA, 30 nt
Filed under: Cricetulus griseus (Chinese hamster)
Lineage: Eukaryota; Metazoa; Chordata; Mammalia; Rodentia; Cricetidae
Source: RNAcentral
AAGAAGGAUGUGAUAGAGCUGACUGACGAC